This 293-nucleotide ribosomal RNA is filed under the name uncultured bacterium. RNAcentral describes it as "partial 16S ribosomal RNA". It matches the Rfam family "Bacterial small subunit ribosomal RNA", at positions 775 to 1067 of the family's 1533-position model. The record is from RNAcentral.
GGAUUAGAUACCCUGGUAGUCCACGCCGUAAACGAUGUCUACUAGCCGUUGGGGUCCUUGAGGCCUUAGUGGCGCAGCUAACGCACUAAGUAGACCGCCUGGGGAGUACGGCCGCAAGGUUAAAACUCAAAUGAAUUGACGGGGGCCCGCACAAGCGGUGGAGCAUGUGGUUUAAUUCGAUGCAACGCGAAGAACCUUACCAGCUCUUGACAUGCAGAGAACUUUCUAGAGAUAGAUUGGUGCCUUCGGGAACUCUGACACAGGUGCUGCAUGGCCGUCGUCAGCUCGUGCUG